RNAcentral lists this ribosomal RNA (786 nucleotides) under Porina mazosioides. Its description in RNAcentral is "SSU rRNA". It matches the Rfam family "Bacterial small subunit ribosomal RNA", at positions 375 to 1207 of the family's 1533-position model. Lineage: Eukaryota; Fungi; Ascomycota; Lecanoromycetes; Ostropales; Porinaceae. The record is from RNAcentral.
CCUAACGGCUGAACCAGCAACUUGGAUGAACGAAAGACGCAAACCCGCGUUAUCAUAAAAUAAUUUUAUGAGAGUAACUACGUUACAUUAAGUUCUAGGUAAAUUUUGAUAAUGACAUUAUUUAUCUAUAAGUCUUGACUAAGUCAUGUGCCAGCAGUCGCGGUAAGACAUGGAAGACAAGUGUUAUUCAUCUUUAUUAGGUAUAUUGGGUACUCAGACAGUUAAUUAAGCCGUAAAGGUACUAAUUACACUAGAGUUUAAUAAGAAAGGGCUAGAAUGGUGAGUGUAGUGAUAAAAUACGUUGAUGCCACUUAGAGACUGGCAACGGCGAAGGCAACCUUUUAUGUAAAAACUGACGUUAAAGUACGAAGGCUUAAGAUAAGAAACAGGAUUAGAUACCCCAGUACUGUGGGCAGACAAUGAUGAGUGCCAUAUGUAAGUAUAUAUAUAACUAAUAAAAAAAGUUAUUUAAUUAUUUGUGUAUAAAUGAAAGUGUAAGCACUUCACCUCAAGAGUAACAUGGCAACAUGGGAACUGAAAUCAUUAGACCGUUUCUGAAACCAGUAGUGAAGUAUGUUGUUUAAUUUGAUGACCCACAAAGAACCUUACCACAAUUUGAAUGUAUUCACAGGAGUUGCACGGCUGUCUUCAGUUGAUAUCGUGAGAUUUUGGUUAGUUCCAUUAAAUCAACGUAAACCCUAACUUUAUUUUUUUCAUAAAGUGGAUCGACAAUAUAUAGAUUAUGAUAAAAGGGACCAAGACAAGUCAUCAUGACCCUACGUAGAU